AAUCCAUUAUGUAUUUCUAGAAUUAAAACACAAGAGGACCAUGGUUAGGGGAAAGCAUACGAGUCCAUAUUUGCAUAUUGAAAAAUAGAGCAAAAACUUUGCUCAGAACAAUGGGAAUGACUGCACUCAAGUAACACUUGUUUGCUUUUAGUGUGUUUGCUGUCAGAACAGCCAGAAUAAUGAUCUUAAUACUCCUACUGGAACUCCAUGCAUGAUGUACAGUAAUACAAAGCUUGCCAUUUCAGCUCAAUAAUUAUCUUGGCCAUAUUUACAUACCUAUAAGGAAAUUUACCUUGUGAUAAAUCCCCCACAGAAAGAAAGGGUUAAUCUUACGUGCUAUAAAACUAGGAGUUUUUUUUUAUUUUUUAUUAGAAACACUCAUUUGUCUUUAGUUGUGAGAAUAUCUUAUUUACACCUCCCCCACGUCCAAUUAGGAUUUACUGAUUUUAGGGAAAAAAGUUAAUUGGCCUGCUGAAAGCCACCCUAAAAUUGAAACCCCUUAUCUGCAAGAUAAAGGAUCAGCAAAUGCGUGGCAAAUGUGCCUAAAGACAGAAAAAAGGGCUGUCCUUUUACCAAGGGGGGAAAAAAAAAGAUAAAAUCAUUUAAAGCAGCCAACAAAUCUCUUUUAUUUCCCAACAAAGAAACCUGUCUGCUCUAUUUAAAACACGGGAAUAUGUGUCUCAAAAUCUUCUAAACAUUUGUUUAGACAAGUAGAUCAAAAUAUGCAAAAUUAGGGUAUUUAAAAAAAAACCUUAAAUGGUUAUCCUGUAGUCCUCAUCUGCAUUCCUUUUGAGUUUUUCAAGAUCUGAUUGGUUGGAAUAAUUAUUGAGUAGAUCUUAAGUUCGGGCUGUAAAGCACUGAGGCUCCUAUGUGAAGAAUUCACUCUGACUUUGUACAGAUGAUUUUUUUUUCUUUUUUUUUUUUACUUUUUAAAUUUUCACCAACCUGAGCAUGUAGGGGAUGGAUCAGAAAGCUGCAUUCUGCACUCCUGGAAUUCCUUCAAAAUAAAAAGAGAAAAGUUAGUUUUUUUGGAUGUAGAUUUUUUGUUAUUGGAUAUAUACCAAAAUAUAUAAAUAUAUAUUUUUAAUGGGAAUCGAGCCCAGCUCUGCAGGACAAAGAGAUGUGACCCAGGUGCUGCACUGAAAUCAGCCACUUAGUCCUCAGCCAGGCUGCCAGAAUUAAGCACAAGAGUGGAUUUUCUUCAAAGAUCACGAAAUAAACAAAGUUACUUUGCUCAAAUUCGGGCUGAAGAUAUACCAUACAAAUGUAUUAUACCUACAGAUAUAUGAUUGAAAAAUUUCCCCACCAUGCCAUCUAUUUAAAAACUCCAGAAACCUAUGAUUUGACAAUCAAUGAUUGCGCGAUAGUUUAAAUUUGAAUAUUCAAAGGCUUAACAAAAAGACAGAUCUUUUUUUGAAACAAAGCACUUCCACAUCUAACUGAGGGUCUUUGGCAAUAAGAAUUGAUGUCAAUCCCUCCCACUGGCCUUUUUUC
Long non-coding RNA from Xenopus laevis (African clawed frog), 1494 nucleotides. RefSeq lists it as uncharacterized. The record is from RefSeq and is a predicted model, not a curated record. The transcript has 2 exons. NCBI's taxonomy places the organism in Eukaryota, Metazoa, Chordata, Amphibia, Anura, Pipidae.